This 497-nucleotide ribosomal RNA is filed under the name uncultured bacterium. Its description in RNAcentral is "partial 16S ribosomal RNA". It matches the Rfam family "Bacterial small subunit ribosomal RNA", at positions 28 to 507 of the family's 1533-position model. The record is from RNAcentral.
GAUGAACGCUGGCGGCGUGCCUAAUACAUGCAAGUCGAGCGAACAGAUAAGGAGCUUGCUCCUUUGACGUUAGCGGCGGACGGGUGAGUAACACGUGGAUAACCUACCUAUAAGACUGGGAUAACUUCGGGAAACCGGAGCUAAUACCGGAUAACAUAUUGAACCGCAUGGUUCAAUAGUGAAAGGCGGCUUUGCUGUCACUUAUAGAUGGAUCCGCGCCGUAUUAGCUAGUUGGUAAGGUAACGGCUUACCAAGGCAACGAUACGUAGCCGACCGGAGAGGGUGAUCGGCCACCCUGGAACUGGACCGCGGUCCAGACGCCUACGGGAGGCAGCAGUAGGGAAUCUUCCGCAAUGGGCGGAAGCCUGACGGAGCAACGCCGCGUGAGUGAUGACGGUCUUCGGAUCGUAAAACCCUGUUAUCAGGGAAGAACAAAUGUGUAAGGAACUGUGCACAUCUUGACGGUACCUGAUCAGAAAGCCACGGCUAACUACGUG